RNAcentral lists this long non-coding RNA (1327 nucleotides) under Piliocolobus tephrosceles (Ugandan red Colobus). RNAcentral's name for it is "lncRNA (ENSPTEG00000007871.1)". The record is from RNAcentral. Lineage: Eukaryota; Metazoa; Chordata; Mammalia; Primates; Cercopithecidae.
CCUAAAGUGCACCAUGGUGAGGAAAAUCUUGCCUUCUUAAAUUUUUUUUAUUUUUAUUAUUAUUAAUUUUUUGAUGAAUCUUGUACUGUUGCCCGGGCUAGUAUGCAGUGGUACAAUCUUGGCUCACUGCAACCUCCACCUUCCGGGUUCAAGUGAUUCCCCUGUCUCAGCUUUCUCAGUAGCUAGGAUUACAAACACCUACCACCACGACUGGCUAAUGUUUUUUAUUUUUAUUUUGAGUAGAGAUGGGGUUUCACUAUGCUGGCCAGGCUGGUCUCAAACUCCUAACCUCAUGAUCCAUCAGCCUUGGCCUCCCAAAGUGUUGGGAUUAAAGUUGUGAGCCACUACACCUGGCCGAAAAUCUUGCAUUUAAGCAAAGAAGGAAUGAGUCUGAAAGCAGGAAUGGAAACGGGAAAAGAUAAGGGGGCCAGAAGGAAAGUGGAGGAGAAAAGAAGGGUUAGGGUCUGAGAGGGAGAAAAGAUCCAAGUAUUUUCAGCCCCAUGGCCUGGAGUUGCAAGUGGGUGGGGCAAGGCCACUGGAGCUGUGACAGCCUUGAAAGCCAGGGUGACUCAUGUGGGGGCCCUCUGUUUCCUCUGGGUGUGUCACACCCUGGGCUCCAGGUCCCCAGUGGCACACGUACUGGCACAGAGUUGGGCGUCUGCAUCAAGCUUCUGUUCCUGGUGCCAGGAUGGUCCGGGAUGGGUCAGGACCUGGACUAAGGAGUGGAUUCACCAGAGGAAAUUAUAUUUCAUGAGAUGGAACAUUCUGGGAAUGCUGACACUCAGCAGACCCCUGACUAUAUCAAAAGUAAGAAGUUGCAUGAUUUGGUCAUUUGGGUCGCACAAGUCCUCUGUCAAAUUUGCUCAUUUGUGUUUAAUUUUUUCUUUGUCAUUUCUUAUGUUGGUUUUGUUGUUGUUUUCUUUGAGACAGGCUCUCACUGUGUCACCCAGUCUGGAGUGCAGUGGCAUCACCUCAACCCCCUGCAACCUCAAACUCCCUGGCUCAAGUGAUCCUCCCACCAUAGCCUCCUGAGGAGCUGGGACUACAGGCUUGUGCUACUACGCUUGGUCAAUUUUUAAAAUUCUCUGUAGAGACAUGGUCUCACCAUGUUGCCACGGCUGAUCUCCAACUCCUAGCCUCAAGCGAUUCUCCAGCAUUGGCCUCCCAAAUUUCUGGGAUUGCAGGUGUGAGCCACCACUCCUGGUCCAAAAAGUUGCUACUUUUUAGUUUUUACUUUUGUCAUGGUUGUAUGACAUUAUGUAGAUUUUUAAAAUUCUGUAUAAUUAAUGUGGGCAAUGCUAUACAAUAAAAUGUUUCUUCAGCCACA